Molecule: ribosomal RNA, 407 nt
Filed under: uncultured bacterium
Lineage: Bacteria
Description: bacterial SSU rRNA
Rfam family: Bacterial small subunit ribosomal RNA
Source: RNAcentral
ACUCCGGAAUUGCCAUUGAAACUGUUUGACUUGAGUACGGGAGAGGUGAGUGGAAUUCCCAGUGUAGAGGUGAAAUUCGUAGAUAUUGGGAAGAACACCGGUGGCGAAGGCGGCUCACUGGCCCGUUACUGACGCUCAGGCGCGACAGCGUGGGGAUCAAACAGGAGUAGAUACCCUGGUAGUCCACGCCGUAAACGAUGAACGCUAGCCGUUGGAUAGCUUGCUAUUCAGUGGCGCAGCUAACGCAUUAAGCGUUCCGCCUGGGGAGUACGGCCGCAAGGUUGAAACUCAAAGGAAUUGACGGGGGCCCGCACAAGCGGUGGAGCAUGUGGUUUAAUUCGACGCAACGCGCAGAACCUUACCAGGGUUUGACAUCCUGUGCUAUCUGCAGAGAUGCAGAGUCCCCG